GUAGUUGAUCAGUGGCUCAGGACGACGCUGGCGGCGUGCCUAACACAUGCAAGUCGAACGGAGCACUUCGGUGCUUAGUGGCGAACGGGUGAGUAACGCGUGAGCAACCUACCUUUCAGUGGGGGGACAACAGUUGGAAACGACUGCUAAUACCGCAUGAUGUCAUCGGGGGACAUCCUCUGGUGACCAAAGCUUUAUGUGCUGAAAGAUGGGCUCGCGUCUGAUUAGCUAGAUGGCGGGGUAACGGCUCACCAAGUCGACGAUCGGUAGCCGGACUGAGAGGUUGAACGGCCACAUUGGGACUGAGACACGGCCCAGACUCCUACGGGAGGCAGCAGUGGGGGAUAUUGCACAAUGGGGGAAACCCUGAUGCAGCAACGCCGCGUGAGGGAAGAAGGUUUUCGGAUUGUAAACCUCUGUCCUCUGUGAAGAUAAUGACGGUAGCAGAGGAGGAAGCUCCGGCUAACUACGUG
RNAcentral lists this ribosomal RNA (473 nucleotides) under uncultured bacterium. RNAcentral describes it as "bacterial SSU rRNA". It matches the Rfam family "Bacterial small subunit ribosomal RNA", at positions 1 to 507 of the family's 1533-position model. The record is from RNAcentral.